This 1395-nucleotide ribosomal RNA is filed under the name Triticum aestivum (bread wheat). RNAcentral describes it as "partial small subunit ribosomal RNA". Lineage: Eukaryota; Viridiplantae; Streptophyta; Magnoliopsida; Poales; Poaceae. The record is from RNAcentral.
AUGGCCUCCUCAGCGACUGCGGGUCGGCACGUCGUCGCGGUGCCGUACCCGGGCAGCGGCCACAUCAACCCCAUGCUCGCCGUGUGCCGCCUGCUCGUCGCCGCGGACGGCGCCCUCACCGUCAUCGUCGUCGUCACGGAGGAGUGGCACGCGCUGCUGGCCUCCGCGCCCACGCUGCCAGACCGCGUCCGCUUCGCCACCAUCCCCAACGACGUCAUCCCCCCCGAGCGCAGCCGUGGGGUCGACCACGCCGCCUUCUUCGAGGCCGUGAGCAACAAGAUGGCGGACGCCGUCGCGCAGCUGCUCGACCGGCUAGUGCUGGAGCUGGAGCCGAGGCCGGAGGCUAUCCUUGUCGACACCUACCUGACCUGGGGGGUUGCGGUCGGCGCGCGGCGCUGCAUACCGGUGUGCUCGCUGUGGACCCAGCCGGCCACCUUCUUCUUGGCGCUCUACCACCUGGACCUGUGGCCGUCGGGUGACGAUGACCAUGAACACGAUGAAGAAUUAAGCGCCAAGUCCAUGGAUCAGUAUGUCCCGUGCCUCUCAUCAGUAAGAAUGUCUGAUCUCAUGGUCUUCAGCCGAUGGAAGCGGCACAUGAAGAUAACAGCGGAGGCGUUCGUGAACGUACGAAAAGCGCAGUGUCUCCUCCUCACCUCCUUCCACGAGCUUGAACCCUGCGCCAUCAACACAACGGCUGAGUUACUUACGUUCCCCAUAUAUCCGAUCGGCCCUGCACACAUGCCGCCGGACGGGAACGCGGGCAGGAUCCAGGACGAGGAGCACCAUGACUGGCUGGACGCGCAGCCAGAGAAGUCGGUGAUGUACGUCUCGUUCGGCAGCUACGCUUCCAUGCCGCACUCGCAGUUCGAAGAGAUCGCCAUGGGGCUGCUUGACGCUGGAGUCAAGUUCUUCUGGGUGGCACGGGACAAGGCCCCUGAGCUGCGGGGGAUGUGCGGCGACAGGGGGCUGGCGGUGCCGUGGUGCGACCAGCAGAGGGUGCUGUGCCACCGGUCCGUCGGCGGCUUCCUCAGCCACUGCGGGUGGAACUCGGUGCUCGAGGCCGUGUGGGCCGGAGUGCCCGUGCUUGCCUUCCCUGUUGCGUGGGACCAGCUGGUGAACGCCCGGAUGGUCGGCGACGAAUGGAAGGUCGGCAUCGACCUGAGGGAACAGAGGGGGGAGGAUGGGAUUGUGAGCAGGGCCGCCAUCUCUGAUGCCGCGAGGAAGCUGAUGGAUUCGGAUUCUGGUGUUGGCCAAGAGAUGAGGAAAAGAGCCGCGCAGCUGCGCGAGGUUUCCCGUAGCGCGGUCGGGGAAGGAGGCUCGUCGCAUAGUUCGUUGAGCGGUUUCCUCAAGGAUCUCGCCGAGGGAAGAUUGGAGGUGGCUGAAAGUUCUCAGUGA